RNA transcript from Octodon degus (degu), 1743 nucleotides. It is a transcript of the gene named heterogeneous nuclear ribonucleoprotein R-like, with no coding region annotated. NCBI's taxonomy places the organism in Eukaryota, Metazoa, Chordata, Mammalia, Rodentia, Octodontidae. The transcript has a single exon. The record is from RefSeq and is a predicted model, not a curated record.
UAUGUCAGUCUUGAUGGAAGAGCAAUUGAUGCUCUCAGGGAGUUUAAUGAAGAAGGAGCUCUGUCUGUGCUGCAGCAAUUCAAGGAAAGUGACUUAUCACAUGUUCAGAACAAAAGUGCAUUUUUAUGUGGAGUUAUGAAGACCUACAGGCAAAGAGAGAAACAGGGCAGCAAAGUGCAAGAGUCCCCAAAGGGACCUGAUGAAGCAAAGAUCAAGGCCUUACUUGAAAGGACUGGUUAUGCUCUGGCUGUAACAACAGGACAAAGGAAGUACGGUGGUCCUCCACCAGACAGCGUGUACUCGGGUGUGCAGCCCGGAAUUGGAACAGAAGUCUUUGUAGGUAAAAUACCAAGGGAUCUGUAUGAGGAUGAGUUGGUUCCCCUUUUUGAAAAGGCUGGUCCCAUUUGGGAUCUAUGCCUUAUGAUGGAUCCACUGUCUGGUCAGAACCGAGGGUAUGCAUUUAUCACUUUCUGUAGAAAGGAAGCUGCAGAGGAAGCUGUUAAACUGUGUGACAGCUAUGAAAUUCGCCCUGGGAAACACCUUGGAGUGUGUGUUUCUGUGGCAAACAACAGACUUUUCGUUGGAUCCAUCCCGAAGAAUAAGACUAAGGAAAACAUUCUGGAAGAAUUCAGUAAAGUCACAGAGGGUUUGGUGGACAUUAUUCUGUAUCAUCAACCCGAUGACAAAAAGAAGAAUCGGGGUUCUGCUUCCUUCAAUAUGAGGAUCACAAGUCAGCAGCACAAGCCAGAUGUCGGCUGAUGAGUGGAAAGUAAACGUACGGGGAAAUGUAGUUACAGUUGAAUGGGCUGACCCUGUGGAAGAACCAGAUCCAGAAGUCAUGGCUAAGGUAAAAGUUUUAUUUGUGAGAAACUUGGCCACUACAGUGACAGAAGAAAUAUUGGAAAAGUCAUUUUCUGAAUUUGGAAAACUGGAAAGAGUAAAGAAGUCGAAAGAUUAUGCAUUUGUUCAUUUUGAAGAGGGAGGAGCUGCUGUUAAGGCUAUGGAUGAAAUGAAUGGAAAAGAAAUAGAAGGGGAAGAAAUUGAAAUAGUCUUAGCUAAACCACCAGAGAAGAAAAGGAAAGAGCACCAAGAGCUAGACAGGCCUCCAGAAGUACUGCGUAUGAAGGUUAUUACUAUCACCCUCCUCCUUGAAUGCCACCUCCAAUUAGAGGUCGAGGUCGUGGUGGAGGUAGAGGUGGAUAUGGCUACCCUCCAGAUUACUAUGGCUAUGAAGAUUACUAUGAUGAUUACUAUGGUUAUGAUUAUCAUGACUAUCGUGGAGGCUAUGAAGAUCCCUACUAUGGCUAUGAUGAUGGCUAUGCAGUAAGAGGAAGAGGAGGAAGGGGGGCAGGGCAAGGUGCUCCACCACCACCAAGGGGGUGGGGAGCACCACCGCCAAGAGGUAGAGCUGGCUAUUCACAGAGGGGGGCACCUUUGGGACCACCAAGAGGCUCUAAGGGUGGCAGAGGGGGUCCUGCACAACAGCAGAGAGGCUGUGGUUCCCAUGGAGCUCGGGGCAAUCGUGGGGGCAAUGUAGGAGGCAAGAGAAAGGCAAUGGGUACAACCAACCUGAUUCCAAGCGUCAUCAGACCAACAACCAACAGAACUGGGGUUCACAACCCAAUGCUCAGCAGCCGCUUCAGCAAGGUGGUGACUAUUCUGGUAACUAUGGUUACAAUAAUGCCAACCAGGAAUUUUAUCAGGAUACUUAUGGGCAACAGUGGAAAUAGACAAGUGAGGGCU